UCAACUGCUGUUAAUUGAGAUAGAAAGUGAAGGAAGAGUUGAGAGAGUUUUUUGGUUAUGUUAAUGCUUGUUGCUGCUUACUACUGCUAAUGAUGAUAUUUGAUGUUAUCAAAGCCAUAAAGGUGGUGAUGAUUGCGAUGAGAAAGAUUUGUAAUUGUUGGGCUUUUUUUUGUAUUUCAAUGUCAUAACUGUUCUUCUUGAACAGUAAGCCUCAGGUAUUUAUAAUAAAAUAUCUCUUAGUAAUCGUUAAAUAUAACAUGAAUGAAAAUGAAGAUGAAACUAAAGAUGAGAUCGAAGCUGGUAUUGAAGAUGAAGAUACAUAAAGAUGUUUAAAAAAGGUUGGUAAUAGAAGGGAAAAAGUAAUGUCUGUUUUUAUGACGAUCAAGAUGCACAGAUGAAUUGGUCAUGAAGAGUGAAACAAAAAAGAUCUUAAAUUAAGAUUAAUGGACUGAUUGAAAGAUGAGGCGUAAAGGGUUAAUUUUCAUUACAAUUAACCGGGUUUUCUUUUUGGCAACAGGUAAAUGCACAACACAAAAUACACAAUAAUUAUUGAAAUAAUAAAUCAUUAACAGACAGCAAAGGGAAUCGUGAAAUAAAGAUGAAAUCAUAGAAAGAGAAGGGCAAAGAAAAUGAAAAAUUUAGAUACAAUCAUAUCAUUUGAAGUUUACUGAACAAAAUGGCGAACCUUUCAGGGUUAAAACAUUAGCUUGACCUCAACAAUUUAAAUAAUAUAAAUAUCACUGUUGUUGUUGGCACAUCAUUAGCACUUGCUAAUUAAUUGUUUAUUUAGUUUUGGUAUUUGGUUUCUUCAAAAUGUAUUAGGAACAACAAAACAGAUAAGAGAAUGUAAAGAGAAUUGAGAAAAAUUGUUUAAAAUUGAAAUGAUAAAGAGUUGAAAAACAAAAGAUAACAGACAGAGAUAACAGAAAAUGUUAAGAGACAAAAAACCGUUGAAAGUGGAAAAAUAAUGCGAACUCUUACUCACACCUUUAACAACUCUUUUUUCCCUCUCUUUUUAAACAGUGUUACCCACUCUGUAUCAGGUCAAUUGAAUUCAAGAUAUAAUCAAAUGGUCAUGAUUAUCAAGUUUCCAAUUCUUGGCCUUUUCUUGGUGUGUUCCCUCCAAUGUUAGCUCAUAUCAAAAUGGAGAUCGGUCAAAGCGUGUUUUUUCAGCAUCGUUCAAUCUUUCAGCUUUACUGCUAAAUCUCGUCAUUCUCAUCUCUGGUUUAAUCAACAAUUUUUUUACUAUCAACUUGUGACUCAUGAUUUGUUUCAUCGAUUAACUGGAAAUUUGAAUUUUAAUCUGACCCAAAGGGUUUUAUUUUUUGGCCCCAUUUACUCUUCUACAUCUAUUAAAAUAUCAGUAAAAGCUUAUAACUCUCACUUUGUGUUUCAUGGAAAACUGUCAACAGGAGAUAAUCGAGUUGGUGAACAUAAUCGGAAAUUUGCACGGUCAGAGGACGCACAUAAUCUUGAAAAGGCUAAUCAAAUUUUGCGUGAAUUUGUUUAAAGCCGAGAUGUCAUCGCCCCAUAAAUUGUUUUGACUCUUUCUGUCGAGAUGGUAAAAGAUGAUAGUUCAGGCUAUGACGUAGAUAGCUAUAUGGAUAGUUUCGCUGAAUGCUUUUCUCCCUGAAAUUUUAACUUUCGGAUAGAUAAAAAGUUUCUGAUAAUGAUCAAGCCAGCAAGGAGUGGAAUUAGACUUUUACCAUCAAAGAAUGGUAAAAGUUAUCCGGUUAAUCAUGAGAGUGACUUCCAUGUGAUUACUUUCAAUAACAGAAAUGUUUCACCAACAAUUCAAUAAUCUUCACAGUGUGGUCUUCCUACCCUGGACAGCCAAGAUAAAUCAACCAUGAAAAUGGUGUAUGAUUAGUUGAUUGAUGGAUCACCAGAAAACCCGUCAAGGUUAAUGAUGCCAUUUUGCUUGAAGCAACAAUAAGAUGAACUACAGUGAUAACCCUUCCACCAUCAACCGUUAUAAUUGUCACAACUGUAUCUUUCUACUUUAAAUAGUCAAAACUUAUUGAUGUGAAUUGAUUCGCAAUGUAACUUAAGAUCGUCUACCAAAAUACUGAGUACAUUUGUGUCACAUCAAUUCAAGUGGACACUGAUUAUUGGAUUAAUUUUAAGAGACACUUUUUUUUAUUCAUUAACUCUCAAGCCAGUUCAGAUAUAAUUUGUUUCAAAAAUGGCAAUUAAAACUUUCUCUUGAUCAUAUUUAAACUCUUCAAUUAUAUUUAACCGAUUGAGAUGCUGUUUGGUCAGUUAGUCGCAAAUCAAACUCUCAAUAUUUUGGUAAUAAAGAAAGGUUCAAUUGCAAGGAAACUGUUUUCCUCACAUGGGAGUCAUCAAUGUCGUUGAUCGUCUAAAGGUUAAUUCAUUGGAAAAUUUUGAUAAAACAGGAAUCAAGAUUAAUCCAUCUUUUCAUCACAUGAAUUUUCAGAGUAAAUGAAAUACUGGAAUCACAAGAAAGGCUUUGAUGAUGGAUAAAAUUUAAACAAACCUGCAAGGUAAAUAGACACGUUUGGAAAGCCUCUCUGCUUAAAUAUGGAUAUCGAAGUGAAAUUCAAAAUUAGCCAGUAAUCGGUUUUUUUGCAAAGUUAAAUGGAUUUCGGACAAUCUCCCAUCUUGCCUUCUCGUCAAUCAACAACCCAAAGUAUGCCAGUUUGCCAAGGAAAUGUUUCAGUUUUUCUUGAUCAACACUGAAAUCGGGAAAUUGAGAUUUAUUAAGAGAAAAGGAGAUUCUCAACAAAAAUAGUUAUCAACCAACCAACAUACCUGUCCACAGCUCUUAAAACACGAUCCAUUUCUGAUGCUCAUUUCUUCUUCUUCUCUUCUCUCUCUCUCCAUCAUCAUCCGCCUCAUUUCCUGCUGAUGAGGAUAAAGAUGAACUAACAAGGGAUAAGAUAGAUGAAGAUAAUGGGAUGCGUGUUAAUCGUCAUGACUAAGUGAGGCCUGAGAGGACCUGCAUAUCCGUGUCAACCUUAUUGUCGCAUGCUACCUUGUAGCGAUGCUCUGUCGUCUCUUAUCUUAUUAGAUUAUUUUGAUUCUUAUAUUAUGAUAAAUCAUCGUCUGUUACAUGUUUAUCAUAUUUUUUAAUCAUCACCCGACAAUUUGCUUUUUAAAAAAGCAAAAUGCAUUGUUUAACGCAAAACAUUUUUCAUAAGAAAGUUCAAUUAUGCAUAUGAUACAUGAUACAUAAUAUUAUGAUCCUAUUCAUUUAAACAAUGAACAAAUCAUAAUUUAUUAUCUGUAUCACCAAUUUUGCUACUUUGAAUUGGUUUUGCGUUUCAUUUGAAAGGCUUACAAAAAGUACAUUCAUAAGGAAUUAACUUUUUUAUCAGAUUUUAAAUAUCCAAUAGGUUCAGAUUAACCUGUUAACUAAUUAAAUUUUAUAGUUUUGAUGAAACAGCAAGACUCGGAUGAAAUCCCCAAUCAGAUUGGGAUCAAUUUAGAUAAUGGAAAAGUGUGAAAUGUAUUUUUUGCUUCUCAACCAUUGACCAAGUACACGAUAUCCCAUGAUGAUAUAUCUCAUGAAAAGGUUGUUUUCAAAGAGUUGAAAACACAUUGAUUGACAUAUUUACAUUCAAAGUGUUAGCUAACCUGAACUUAAUUAAUCCAUGAUAAUCUUGGAUGAUUCAAUCACAAAAAGUAUUGAUUAAUUUGGAUUAUUAAGUUUAUUUUUUUAAAUCAUUUCAACUUGAACAGAUUCAUUUAUUAAUAUCAACAAUAUACUAUCUCAAGGAAUCAAAUUUCAGUCGAUAGAUGAUUGUAUAUAAAAAGUUACACUCAAUACAAGUUUAUUAAUGAACUGUUAGUAAGAAGAUAACCUUUUCCAGUUUUUUCAGUUACAAAACUGUGAUUGUUUUGAUUAGUCCAAUUGAUUAAAUUCAGGGGAAUAUUUCAAUGUGAUUGAAGAAGUUUCACGGCAAACUGAGACAUCUAUUCAUUCAAGAAAUCUGGUUUACUGUAAUGAAAUUUGCAACAAAAAAUGAUAUUACACUAUCUUGAUGCAAAUCUUGAUUGAAAUCACUUCUAACCUAAUCCGAUCAACCUAAAACAACUAAUUAUCAGAAGAUUGAAAAUGCUGUACAAUUAAUAUUUUUGGCUUGUUCCUGAUUAAUCAAGUUAUUAAUUUCAUCUUUUUGCAACUUUUACAAUUUAAUUUAAGAAUGAAAGUUAAUUUGUAUUGUAGUUGAAUGUAUUUUUAUCUACAAAGCUGCGAAACAAAGUUCAUUCUGAUUGAAAGUAAAAGUUUGCUUUAUUUCAUUAUUUAUCCUGAAAGUUAAUCAGGAUAACUGAAUUAGGGUUGCUAUAGAAAUAGCAGUAAUUUGUAUCAUUAUUGAAGUAUUAAUAAUACUAUUUGAAUAUAUCUAAAAUCAUCUCUAUGAAUAAACUCCUCAAAGUAAACACUUGGUUUGAAGGUUUUAUUUUACUCAGAUGAUAAAAAACACUUUCAGUGUCAACAAAUUGUCACAUAACACACAUUAUCAUCAUGAUAAUUUUAUUAUUCUCA
Molecule: long non-coding RNA, 4513 nt
Organism: Tetranychus urticae (two-spotted spider mite)
Lineage: Eukaryota; Metazoa; Arthropoda; Arachnida; Trombidiformes; Tetranychidae
Source: RefSeq, a predicted model, not a curated record